GGCCGCCCGCUCCGGAACACGGCGGCAGCUCAUCUGAAUUCAAAUUACCCCGGGAGCCGCGCGAUGCCAGCCAUAACUCAGCCUGCGGAGGAGUGCGGCCGCCGCGGAUCGGACGUUACCAUACAUUCCCGGGGCGUCGGACAGGGCUGCUAAUGAAAAUAUCAAUCAAAAACUUGCCUGACUUAAUGGUCAAUUUAAAUUAAUUAAUUGGGGAGGAGAAAAAAGUUGAGGAGGGUGGCGUUGAUGGGCUCCCUCUCUGGCGGGCGGGGAGAAGUGGGUGCCCGGCUGGGCACAGCCCCCAGGCCAGGAGAUGGGGCCAAGCCUCCCCCGGGACCCUGGGGCAUACCUGAGGGCCCAGGGGCCAUGCCUGCCUGGGGCGGGUGUGAGGCCUGAGAUUCCCGUCCCACAUUUCUGGGCAGGCUGUGGGUGGCCUGUCCUACUCCAGCUGUGUCGUCUGCAGGGACCACUGGUGGCCAGGUGCCCCCUCCCUGAGGCAUAGAAGAGCCCCUUGCUCAGUGGGGCCAGGGAGGGCUGGCAUUGUGGGCAUGGGCAUGGGCCACGACUGGCUCAGGUCCCUGGGCCUCAUCUUGUCUGUGACACAGUGGCCAUGUCCACUGCCCAGCACUUCGCAGGGCCCACGGCAGGCAGGGUGGGGCUGGACGCAGGGCUCACCAGGGAUGCCCCCAGGUCAGGCGCUGUGUCAAGGGAGACACAGGUAUCCCUGCUUCAUAGUGGAGAAACUGAGGCUCUGAGGGGGACUGGUGCUUCAAGAGGCAGAAAGCGCCGUGACCCCCCGAACCACAAAUGUGACAGUGCGGAGGCUGACGGGUCAUCCAGGAGUGAGACGGAGAAAGGAACAAGGCCGGACCUUACCCCAAGCUGAGCCCAAGUGACUACAGCUGCAUGGAGCAUGAACAGACGGUGGCCGUCACGAGCCGUCCACGUGGGCUUUCCUUCCA
RNAcentral lists this long non-coding RNA (959 nucleotides) under Homo sapiens (human). RNAcentral's name for it is "HSALNT0068000". The record is from RNAcentral. Lineage: Eukaryota; Metazoa; Chordata; Mammalia; Primates; Hominidae.